This is a non-coding RNA of Paramuricea clavata, 520 nucleotides long. Lineage: Eukaryota; Metazoa; Cnidaria; Anthozoa; Malacalcyonacea; Plexauridae. The record is from the annotation of a GenBank genome assembly.
CCCACUUGUUUAUCACUAUUGUUUAUCACUAUUACCACUAUUUAUCACUACUAUGCUUGUUUAACACUUGUUUAUCACUAUUACUGUACUUGUUUAUCACUAUUACACUAACACAAAAGAUCGUCCAUGUGAUUUUUGAUGGGCUUAUACAAGAGGGGACUUAUAUACAGGGUGUAUCAAAAAAAGGUAAUCGAACUUCAGCGCGCUAUUGUAGGCCGUUUUCGCAUUUUAAAUAAGAAAAGAACCAACGUCAAGCUUGAUAUUUUCCAACAUGUAAAGUAAGCUAAAAAUGCAGAAAAUUAUUGAUUCACAUGCUUGCCAUAUAGCUAGUCAUAUAGCCGAUCCCUCCGAUUUUCCGUAUUUUGACGGUUUUUGUUGCCACUUGCAAGUCAGUACAGAACCAUGCGUGUUAUCUUAAAAGUAUAGUCGUAGAGAAAUGUGCAUACUAUAAGCAUAUGGCCGGUAUGAAUGAAUUAAAUCCUUUCGACAGGGUUGUCCAAUCAGUGGUAAACCACUAUUG